UGGACAGGGCUAGGGUGUAAAAGAGC
This 26-nucleotide non-coding RNA is filed under the name Homo sapiens (human). Lineage: Eukaryota; Metazoa; Chordata; Mammalia; Primates; Hominidae. The record is from RNAcentral.